CACACCGCCCGUCACACCAUGGAAGUUGAUUGUACCAGAAGUCGGUAGCUUAACCGCAAGGAGAGCGCCGCCCACGGUGUGGUCAAUGACUGGGGUG
RNAcentral lists this ribosomal RNA (97 nucleotides) under uncultured bacterium. RNAcentral's name for it is "partial 16S ribosomal RNA". It matches the Rfam family "Bacterial small subunit ribosomal RNA", at positions 1386 to 1482 of the family's 1533-position model. The record is from RNAcentral.